CUCACAUAGCGUGAGGACGUCCAGCAACGUUAUAGCACACUUUUCAUGUACUAUAAACAUGGAAGUGCCCUCUAGUGGCUGUCUAGUGGACAGCCACUAGAGGAGGAGUUAACCCUGCAAGGUAAAUAUUGCAGUUUAUGAAAACUGCAAUAAUUACACUUGCAGGGUUAAGGGUAGUGGGAGUUGGCACCCAGACCACUCCAAUGGGCAGAAGUGGUC
RNAcentral lists this long non-coding RNA (219 nucleotides) under Pelobates cultripes (western spadefoot toad). Lineage: Eukaryota; Metazoa; Chordata; Amphibia; Anura; Pelobatidae. The record is from RNAcentral.